UGGGAGCCGUUGAAGGCUA
This 19-nucleotide small nuclear RNA is filed under the name Arabidopsis thaliana (thale cress). RNAcentral describes it as "snRNA_08214". The record is from RNAcentral. Lineage: Eukaryota; Viridiplantae; Streptophyta; Magnoliopsida; Brassicales; Brassicaceae.